RNAcentral lists this ribosomal RNA (253 nucleotides) under uncultured bacterium. RNAcentral's name for it is "partial 16S ribosomal RNA". It matches the Rfam family "Bacterial small subunit ribosomal RNA", at positions 524 to 776 of the family's 1533-position model. The record is from RNAcentral.
UACGAGUGCCCCAAGCGUUAUCCGGAAUUACUGGGCGUAAAGCGUGCGCAGGCGGGGAUGUAAGACAGAUGUGAAAUCCCCGGGCUCAACCUGGGAACUGCAUUUGUGACUGCAUCGCUGGAGUGCGGCAGAGGGGGAUGGAAUUCCGCGUGUAGCAGUGAAAUGCGUAGAUAUGCGGAGGAACACCGAUGGCGAAGGCAAUCCCCUGGGCCUGCACUGACGCUCAUGCACGAAAGCGUGGGGAGCAAACAGG